RNAcentral lists this ribosomal RNA (500 nucleotides) under uncultured Bacteroidota bacterium. Its description in RNAcentral is "bacterial SSU rRNA". It matches the Rfam family "Bacterial small subunit ribosomal RNA", at positions 61 to 562 of the family's 1533-position model. Lineage: Bacteria; Pseudomonadati; Bacteroidota. The record is from RNAcentral.
GUCGAGGGGUAUGGUUCUUCGGAACCAGAGACCGGCGCACGGGUGCGUAACGCGUAUGCAAUCUACCUUUUACAGAGGGAUAGCCCAGAGAAGUUUGGAUUAAUACCUCAUAGCAUAGCAGCUUCGCAUGAAGCCACUAUUAAAGUCACAACGGUAAAAGAUGAGCAUGCGUCCCAUUAGCUAGUUGGUAAGGUAACGGCUUACCAAGGCUACGAUGGGUAGGGGUCCUGAGAGGGAGAUCCCCCACACUGGUACUGAGACACGGACCAGACUCCUACGGGAGGCAGCAGUGAGGAAUAUUGGACAAUGGGCGCAAGCCUGAUCCAGCCAUGCCGCGUGCAGGAUGACGGUCCUAUGGAUUGUAAACUGCUUUUGUACAGGAAGAAACAGUUCUACGUGUAGAACCUUGACGGUACUGUAAGAAUAAGGAUCGGCUAACUCCGUGCCAGCAGCCGCGGUAAUACGGAGGAUCCAAGCGUUAUCCGGAAUCAUUGGGUUUA